UGCUCAUUACAACUUAAAAAAAGCCAAAGUCAACUAGCAUGUAAGUCAUUUUUUUUGGAUGAGUCAGUGGAGAGGGCACAUAACUUCAUAGGAAUUGAGUUUAGGACGUAGCAUUGCAAAUCAUCAAGUGCUAACCAAUUAACCAAUUAAGCCUGAUCAUUUGAUAACAAAUCUUGAGUCUUAGAUUCGAGUCAAAACUGCGCAUUAAGUCGCCUUCUGGCAGGCCAUUGGUUAUAGUGAUGUAAAUGGGUUGGGAGUGAUCCGGGUUGAUCUUGACACUGGCCCAAUCUGACUGGAGUCAAGUCCAAGUCACUUGGUCCUAGACUCGACCUAUCAAGUUGCA
Molecule: long non-coding RNA, 343 nt
Filed under: Amborella trichopoda
Lineage: Eukaryota; Viridiplantae; Streptophyta; Magnoliopsida; Amborellales; Amborellaceae
Description: long non-coding RNA (ATRI_LNC005127)
Source: RNAcentral